Long non-coding RNA from Armigeres subalbatus, 1042 nucleotides. RefSeq lists it as uncharacterized. Lineage: Eukaryota; Metazoa; Arthropoda; Insecta; Diptera; Culicidae. The record is from RefSeq and is a predicted model, not a curated record. The transcript is spliced from 3 exons.
UCAAAAACUAUGUGUAAAGAUUCAAAUCGAAAUACGUUAGAACACUAGCGCCACCAUGCGACGUAUUGCCACACGGAAUGUGAACCAUGUCCGCCAUAUUUGAUUUUGAACUCUCGGAGAGCUGUCAAAAUUCUAGAUAACAAACAUAAACAAUAACAAGUAGCAGCAGUAGAGCAGACCAGACAUCUUUCCGGAUGAGUAACCACAGAUUAAUUAAAUAGUGAUACAAUAAAACAAACCCGCGAAAGUGAUGAGCUGUAAUUUAUUUCAAAGUUCUUUCAUUUUUAGACAAUUUCAUGUUAACUGUGUUACACUUCUGGAAGUUUUGGAUUAGCGUAUUGAAAACAUAGUCCACAAGUUUAUCGAAGCACACCUGACAUGCCGCAAAAUCGAACAAUUUGUAAUCAAGGAAAUCAUCGUCCUGUUGGGCUGUCAAUUUCUCACGGCACUUAUUGUGCUGAACUUUUCCUACUGCUGCUCCGAGAACGUAGACGAGGGCAUUUAGCUCCUUCUGUUGAGCUAUCAAUGGAACGGAAUAAUCGAGAGGCUCAAAAUCGUAUUCUGGAUAUUCAUCUGAUGCAGGCGGAGGAAAGUAAUCCAAAUCAUCCUCAUUGAGAAGAGGAACUGCCUGGUCGUUUUGGCAAUUCUUGCCAUCAAAGGAGUUUUCCUCAGCAGCCGCAAUCAUCGCGUACUUGAAGGCACUGCCGAAUUGAAAAGCAUUCGGAGCAUCAUUGAAUCCGCAACGGCGCCUGAUUUCAGCGAAAAAAUUCUCUAGGCAGUCCUGGCAAAGUGGAUUGGUGCAGAGAUGACUACACUUGUAUUCUUCCUUAAGUAUCUUCCACAACCAAAGCAAUGCGUAGAUAUUACCAAUUAGACCAAUCAAAUAAUGUGGCCGCCUUUGGGUACACUUCAAUUUUUUUGAAUCCGUUUUUGCCUGAAAUAAAUACUCUGUAUUAAACACUGUGUUAAACACUAGAAAGUAUUAGACAGUUGAAUGUAAUAUAUUAAUAAAAAUUAGAAAUUAUAGAAAUUUGUAAAAUUA